UUUUUUUUCUGACUUAAUAUUUCUAUGCCUGGUAAUUUCUACUGGAUAUCAGAUAUUACUGAUUUUAUUUUGGGGUGUUGGAUAUUUUUGUAUUCCUAUGAAGAUUCUUGCUUUUUGUUCUGGGAUAUAGUUAAACUUCCUGGAAACAUGUUCAUCCUUUUGGGUCUUGCUUUUAUGAUUUCUUAGGUGGGACCAGCUUAGGCUUUAGUGUAGAGACCAUUUUUUCCCAUUUCUGAAGCUGAUUCUUUCUGAGCACUCUUCCAGUUGCCCCAUGAAUUAUGUUUGGUAGGAAAAGGCAUGCUUCCUUGCCUUGGGCAAGCUAUAGGGAUUGUUUCCUUAAAUCCUUUUCCAUGGUCUUCUCUCCAACCUUUAGUUUCCUCACAAGCAUUUGCUGCUCAGCACUCUGCUAAAUACUCCGGGGGUGGGGAAGGCACAAGUUGGGGAAGGGGCAGUGCAGCAGAGCUCUGCUGAUCUCCAGAGUUCUCUCUGCACAGCUGUCUCAUCUUUUCUACCAUUUCCUACAAAUUCCAACUGCCCUAGUCUCUUUGGACUCUCUACCCUAACUCUGUAAUAUAGGGAGCCCACCAGGUUCUGACUGGAUUCCCUCUCUCUAUGCCACUUUCUAGAAAUGUUCUCAAGGCAAUAAGCUGGGGCAAUCAUGGGACUCACUUGUAGGUUUCUAUUAUUCAGGGAUCACUGUCCUUUAUUACUUGAUAUCCACUGUCUUGAAAACCAUAGCCUCAUACAUUUUGUGUGUUUUUUGACAUGUUUCAAGUAGAAGAAUAAAUUGGUCCCUUAUCCCACUUUCCCAAAGUUAAAGUCAGAAUUAUCUUUUCACAACUCAAUGUAAUUCUCCUCCCUAAAACAUUUCAUUGCAUUUCCAUCAUUAAAAUAAAAUCCAAGCUCCUUACUGACUUCAUAAUUUAAACCUUGUCUACUUUUCUAAGUAAGCUUCUGUCACUUGCUUCCAAUAACCAUACUCCAUAAAUAAAAUAACUGCAGUUUCACACAUACAAAAUAUUCUUUCAGUACAUUUGCACACGCUGUUCCCCCUGCCUACAACUCAUUUCCCUGCCUUGUCUGCCGAGAAAGUCCUAUGCAUCCAGGAAUAGCCAACACAAAUGCACAAAUGUAACCUCUGUGUGAAGUCCUCCCUCCCUGACACACUUCCAGCCACCUUCUCCCCCUCUCCUUUGCUCUCACCCAAAGAGAAGUUAGUCAGCUCACCUCAGUGCUCACAGGAACCUACUAUUCCUGGUGCUAUGAUGCUACCCAUCACUUUGUAUAUUAAUUAUAUUUUAAACAUCUAUCUACCCAGCUAUGGCCUUGGACAAGCAAGCUCCUCAAACACUCAAGUUUUCUCAUCUGUAAAAUGAAAAUGGUAAUAGGUAUCGAAAUGUUGCACCACAUAGGGUCAAUUCAUUUUAACAAGUAUGUUAAUUAUAUUUUCAACUCUCUGCAUUAUGUUCAAUCUCUUUUUCUUCAUUUUAUAGUACUCUUUCAGUUAAUAUCCCUUAAAAGUAAUCGGGACCCAUCAUUGAUCUGAAAAAUAUACAAUAAAAAUACUACAGGGCAAGUCCUAAAACAAAACAGAACAAAACAAAACAAAACAAAACAAAACAAAACAAAACAAAACAAAAAAAAACCUCAGUGCCUUCGGAAAGAUGAAGGCUUAGAGGCCACAGGGGAAAACUGACAAUACAAGCUGCAGGGAGUCUUAGGACCAAUCUACAGAUUUAACAUAAUCCCUAUCAAAAUACCAACAGCAUUUUUCAUAGAACUGUAACAAACAAUCCCAAAAUUCGUAUGGAACCACAAAAGACCUUGAAGAGCCAAAACAAUCUUGAAGAAGAAAAAAUAAACUGAAGGUAUCACAAAUCCAAACUUCAAGUUACAUUACAAAGAUGUUGAAAUCAAGGGAUCCCUGGGUGGCGCAGCGGUUUAGCGCCUGCCUUUGGCCCGGGGCGCGAUCCUGAAGACCCGGGAUCGAAUCCCACGUCGGGCUCCCGGUGCAUGGAGCCUGCUUCUCCCUC
Molecule: long non-coding RNA, 2033 nt
Filed under: Canis lupus familiaris (dog)
Lineage: Eukaryota; Metazoa; Chordata; Mammalia; Carnivora; Canidae
Description: lncRNA (ENSCAFG00845027854.1)
Source: RNAcentral